This 911-nucleotide ribosomal RNA is filed under the name Stemphylium vesicarium. RNAcentral's name for it is "LSU rRNA". It matches the Rfam family "Eukaryotic large subunit ribosomal RNA", at positions 37 to 966 of the family's 3401-position model. Lineage: Eukaryota; Fungi; Ascomycota; Dothideomycetes; Pleosporales; Pleosporaceae. The record is from RNAcentral.
AGCAUAUCAAUAAGCGGAGGAAAAGAAACCAACAGGGAUUGCCCUAGUAACGGCGAGUGAAGCGGCAACAGCUCAAAUUUGAAAUCUGGCUCUUUUAGGGUCCGAGUUGUAAUUUGCAGAGGGCGCUUUGGCUUUGGCAGCGGUCCAAGUUCCUUGGAACAGGACGUCACAGAGGGUGAGAAUCCCGUACGUGGUCGCUAGCUAUCGCCGUGUAAAGCCCCUUCGACGAGUCGAGUUGUUUGGGAAUGCAGCUCUAAAUGGGAGGUAAAUUUCUUCUAAAGCUAAAUAUUGGCCAGAGACCGAUAGCGCACAAGUAGAGUGAUCGAAAGAUGAAAAGCACUUUGGAAAGAGAGUCAAACAGCACGUGAAAUUGUUGAAAGGGAAGCGCUUGCAGCCAGACUUGCUUGCAGUUGCUCAUCCGGGCUUUUGCCCGGUGCACUCUUCUGUAGGCAGGCCAGCAUCAGUUUGGGCGGUGGGAUAAAGGUCUCUGUCACGUACCUCUCUUCGGGGAGGCCUUAUAGGGGAGACGACAUACCACCAGCCUAGACUGAGGUCCGCGCAUCUGCUAGGAUGCUGGCGUAAUGGCUGUAAGCGGCCCGUCUUGAAACACGGACCAAGGAGUCUAACAUCUAUGCGAGUGUUUGGGUGUCAAGCCCGAGCGCGUAAUGAAAGUGAACGGAGGUGGGAACCCGCAAGGGUGCACCAUCGACCGAUCCUGAAGUUUUCGGAAGGAUUUGAGUAAGAGCAUGGCUGUUGGGACCCGAAAGAUGGUGAACUAUGCUUGAAUAGGGUGAAGCCAGAGGAAACUCUGGUGGAGGCUCGCAGCGGUUCUGACGUGCAAAUCGAUCGUCAAAUUUGGGCAUAGGGGCGAAAGACUAAUCGAACUAUCUAGUAGCUGGUUCCUGCCGAAG